This 113-nucleotide small RNA is filed under the name Evansella cellulosilytica DSM 2522. RNAcentral's name for it is "Bacillus cellulosilyticus DSM 2522 BsrF". It matches the Rfam family "BsrF". Lineage: Bacteria; Bacillati; Bacillota; Bacilli; Caryophanales; Bacillaceae. The record is from Rfam by way of RNAcentral.
GCGAUGAGCUAAUUUGCGUAAGACGAGAUUGACUCGCCUUAAUCGGCAAGCACAAUGUGGAGUGUUGUCUCUCGCCGCAAAUAUGUCAAAAAAGACGUCCUAUUGGGCGUCUU